CACGUAGGGGGCAAGCGUUGUUCGGAAUUACUGGGCGUAAAGGGCAUGUAGGCGGCCUUGUAAGCCUGGCGUGAAAGUCCACGGCUCAACCGUGGGAUUGCGUCGGGAACUGCGAGGCUUGAGUCAUGGAGGGGGAGUUAGAAUUCCUGGUGUAGGGGUGAAAUCUGUAGAGAUCAGGAAGAAUACCAGUGGCGAAGGCGAACUCCUGGCCAAUGACUGACGCUGAGGUGCGAAAGUGUGGGGAUCAAAC
This 250-nucleotide ribosomal RNA is filed under the name uncultured bacterium. Its description in RNAcentral is "partial 16S ribosomal RNA". It matches the Rfam family "Bacterial small subunit ribosomal RNA", at positions 524 to 773 of the family's 1533-position model. The record is from RNAcentral.